RNAcentral lists this ribosomal RNA (256 nucleotides) under uncultured bacterium. RNAcentral's name for it is "partial 16S ribosomal RNA". It matches the Rfam family "Bacterial small subunit ribosomal RNA", at positions 524 to 776 of the family's 1533-position model. The record is from RNAcentral.
UACGGAGGGUGCGAGCGUUGUCCGGAAUCACUGGACGUAAAGGGCGCGUAGGCGGCGCGGAAAGUCGUCGGUGAAAGCUCGGGGCUCAACCCUGAGUCUGCCGGUGAUACUCCCGCGCUCGAGCUCACUAGAGGCAGAUGGAAUUCCGGGUGUAGCGGUGGAAUGCGUAGAGAUCCGGAAGAACACCGGUGGCGAAGGCGGUCUGACUGGGGUCGAGGCUGACGCUGAUGCGCGACGAGCGUGGGGAGCAAACAGG